Vespa mandarinia (Asian giant hornet) is the source of this 3704-nucleotide long non-coding RNA. The record is from RefSeq and is a predicted model, not a curated record. NCBI's taxonomy places the organism in Eukaryota, Metazoa, Arthropoda, Insecta, Hymenoptera, Vespidae.
UAUAUAUAUACCCUCUAAUCCUUUGUCUCUCUCCCGCUCUCUCUCUCUCUCUCUCUUUUUCUAUCUCUAUCUCUCUAUCUCACUCUCUCUAACUCUCUCCAAACAAGACGCAAUCCCGUUAGGGGAAAAACGAGGGCCUCUUUCGCCCCGAAUCUGAAUUCGUUCUUUUGAUUUCGAGAGUAAACACGCGUCUUUGCGUUCUUUUUUCCGCAACUUGCUUCUUUCUUUCUGCGACUUUGCACGGAAAAGAUCGAAAAAAGAAGUUCGAUGCAGUCAGUUCGAAUUCGUUUCGCGAAAAGAAUCAAUGAUUCACAUAAUUGACGAUUAACCUUUUUCAAUAUGUUCCGCAUACGAUUAGCCCUGCGAAAGGAAAAAGAAACGAAGCUUCAACGUCGUUAUCUUUUUUCAUUUUCCGUCGACGAGAGCCGCUCGUCGUCGAAUGUUGCCAUUUGUUCAUUUUCGCGUCGAACAAAAAUAGUGAUACGCUUCGGUCGCAGCUCCGAAACACAAGUCGAGAUUUCUAUAUAUAUACAUAUAUAUAUAUAUAUAUAUGUAUAUAUAUAUAUAUAUAUAUAUAUAUAUAUAUAUAAAUAAAUAUUAUGUUGCAUAUAACGUAUAUUAUAUAAAUACAUACAUAUGCAUAUAUGUAUGUAUAUAAACACAGAAACACGGGCACACAUAAAUAGAUGUGUUUAUCAUCCACCGAGGGCGGAUAAAAAACGAAGAUAUAUUUUCUAAUCGCUCGAGCCGAACACGCUCCUGCUUAGUUUUUCUUCUAACUUUUUGUUCUUCGCUUCGAGGUGUCUUUCUUUAUUUUCUAAUUCUUUCUUUUUUCUUUUUUCUUUUUUUUCCUUUUACUUUUUCUUUUUUCAUUUCUACAUAAAUCAUCUUCGUUCAUUUGUCCGCCAUGCGUUUUCUUUUCGUAUUAUAUUCGCGAUUUAUAUAUUAUAACGCGUAGCAUCGUUCACUUAUAUCGUUCUCUUCUUUCUUAAUUCUUCCUUCGAACGCGUUCUCGUAACUUAUCUAGCUGACGUUUACACUCAAGUGAAGAAAAAAUAAAAAAAAAAAAAGGACAAGAAAUUUCUCCUUUAUUCGUACACGAAUACACGCAAACAACACACGUACACGCGCGCACAGAUGACCCGAAGGAGACACUCAUAGAUAGAUGAGAACGUUAUAUUAGACAACCUUGAGACUCCGAACGAAUGCUUACACACAUGUAUACAUACAAAUACAAAAACUUAUAUUUAUAUAUUAUAAACGACGCUCACAUAAGAGAGAAAAAGUUUUAUUAUAUUUAAGUUCGUGGCAAAGCAAAUUCUAUAUUUUUUCUAUGUUAAGUAUAAAGGAGAUUAAUGAAGAAAAAAAGAAGAAAACAGAAGAAUAAAUGCGUAAAGAAAGGUUCUGUGACGACGCGUACACAUAUAUAUUAUAUUAUUAUAUUAUAUUAUAUUAUAUGAUAUAUAUAUAUAUAUAUAUACAUACAUAUACAUAUAAAAAAGAUAUAUUUAUAGGUAUUCUCUUUAGCAUAACUACGUUCCGAAUCGCGCGGAAUCUCUCUGUCGGUGAGCGCACGCGUGCAAGCACGCGUGCACACGCCGACGGAUGGAUCUCGUGUGACAGAUAAUCUAUCUUAACGCAAACGCGAAGAGCUCGCUUUGAAAAAGUCUGAUCCAGAAAUUGAAAUACGGUGGUUCUUCGUUUCGAAGGGAAGGUAAUCCGCGUUUUAAUAGAGAUAUCGAGAUGGAAGACGAGCUUUUUCGUAUGAUACGCGGCCAUUAAGAUCGCGCACGCGUUCGUGUAUAUAUUAUAUCGUGUGCUCUCGAAAUACAUAUAUGUAAUAUAUAACAGCAAAAAACACCACACAACACAUUCGAUCACAUACAGAUACAGAUAUUCAUAUAUACGCAUAGAGAAGCGUUCGUAUAUAUUACAUUUAGGCGAAUAUGUAUGGAGUGACUAGUAGUCGAUAUAACAUAUAAAAUGAGCGGAAGAAUUUACGAUUACAUCUUAUUAUUUAACGAAGAAGCGUCUUCAAAAACGAAAGUGAAACGCGGUAUUAAUUACCGCGGGACAGGAGAAAGGGUAGAGAAAGAAAAUAGAACAAAAUCUACCGAAGGGAGAUCGUAGGAGGCGGUUUAUUGGUACGGUUGCCAGAACUCGGAGCGUGGCGGGAAAUUCAAAACGUCGACGCGCUUCACGAAGGGUGUCCGAGGGAGAGAAGUAGAGAGAAACAGAGAAAUAGACAAAGGAAGAGACGAAAAGAAAGAGAAAAUGGAAGAACAACAAUAGUACAUUGACGCAAUAAAGAGAGCCGUUAAACUACAAAUUGGGCAACGACUCGUUUGCGUUCACUCUGUCGACAAAAGUGCCGAGAGAGAUUAUUUCUACCAACCACAAAAGGAUUGUCGAGAACCUCCGCUAGACUUUGGGACGACUCUGCUGAAUUAAAGAAACACAUAAACGAUACUACGCGCAUUAUAAUCAAGCAGCCUUCACUUUGGCCGAGGUUCUGGCAUCGCGUAGACACCGUUCUUGUCGUUUUCGUAGUUCGUAAUCGUUUCCUUGCAAAGAUAAUCUCUCUUUCUCUGGACCCUGUAGCGUUCUAGGUCCCAUCUACGGAAAGAGGUAUUCGACGAAGGAGAGAAAUUCUCGAAAUUAGAAUGAGAAGACGGAAGGAGGAAGAGCGUUCGAACUUCGUCCUCGGCUCGCGAAAUCGUCCUUUGUCGAUAAGGAGCGGGAAAGUGAAGAGCGGGAGAACAUUCGUACGAACUAUUGUGCCAUACGUAAAUCAAAAGCCUAUUUCUCGUCGUUGUUAAUGUGAAGUCAAGUUCGAGCCGAAGUUUGCGGAACAUUCGGAAAUUCCGAUUUUCUCCGCAGUGUGUUUUUCCCGCACAGCCAUUGUCCUUUCCAAACCGCGAGGGGCCAUUUCGCGAAUGCAGGAUACCGACGUAGGAAUGGGCGCACGAUCGCGAAAGAGGGCCACGUCUACGCGAGACGUUGUUUAAUUUAAAAUAAUAAUAAUUAAAAAAAAAAGAAAAAAAAAUAAAAAAAUAAAAAAAUAAAAAAAUAAAAAAAACAGAAAAAACGGACAAAAAAUGACAAAAAACACGGAGAAAAAAGGGCGAAGGAAGCACGUUAGAUGGGAGACCUCGUGACUAAGGCUAAAUGAAUAUAAUAACUAUAAAUGUAAAAAUAAAAAGACGUAAAGUUUAAUGAUUAUUAAUAGCCCAUUGGCUGUGACCGAUAACUGCCAUUUUCGUAAAGCAAAAGUUAAAAAAUAAAAACUAAUAAAGCGUGAAGCAAGUCAUUAAGAGAAAUGAAAACGAAAGUAACACAAAAAAAAAAAGAAAGAGAGGAAGAGAAAAAAAAAGAAGAAUCACAGGACGACAAAACUAUCGACGCAAAACCACAUGCACUUACACAUGCACCGUAUUACAGGAUAGAGAAACUAAAAAGACGGAUCAAUAUGUAGUCUACAGGUAGAAGCCAAGAAUGAUCGAGAAGAACGUUGAAUUUUAUUGAUGGAAAAGUGAAAGAUCUUCGUGAAGCAAGAGAAGGAUCGAUUUAUAGGGCGAAAAAAUCGAACGUAGCGUUGACAUUUUAAUAUAAACUGCCUGUAACACCCACUCUUAGCCCCGCCAUCCUUCGAAUUUCAUAAUGAGGGGGCAGUAAUCGACGCAAUGAGAAACGAGAAAGAGAGA